UCUCUCUAGCACGAACCGCUACACCCGCGCGUUCCACCUUCACAUCGAUAUCUUGAGAAGCGGGGCAGGAUUAUGGAACAGUAGUAGUGGGUUGACCCUUGAAUUCUCAUCCGUGGUGGAUCGAAUCAUCACACGAGUAUGCCCGCUAUUUUUAUUUCGUUUCUGGAACGAACACGCGCGUGUCUGUGUGGAACGAUUCGCGCGACGGACACUUUAUUUUUUUUUUUAAGAUACUCGCGCGCCUCACCUCCACGAUAUAUCACUUUCGUGUGAUCGUUUUUCGGUUUAUCGAAAGGUUUCGCCACUUUGAGAGGUGUACACUCUGCAAGGAAGAAACGUGAUGUUCCGGUAUUCGUGAAAGGAAUUCCAAGGGCACUAGUAUCUGAACCUCGAAAGGACGGUCAACGCACCAUGGUUUUCUUUGUGCGAUUCAGCCGCAUUUCUAAAUCGUUUCAACGUACAUUGAGAAGCGGCGAGUUCAAUUCUGGAGACAUGAAGAACGCCCACAGAGAAUCAGCAGCAUCUACUUUCGACAAUCCAACAUGUCUAGUAGUUUUUGUUAGGUUUGGUAGAUUAGAAGAAUGAAAAAAUUGUUAUUGAAAACUGACUAUUUUACAAGAAAUUAUUUUAAUAUCUAAACAAAAUAUUUUCUCAUCUCAGAAAUGAUUUAUACAAUUGAAAAAAAACAAAUGCAAUCAUAAUGAGAUCAUAUGCAUUUCUAACCUGCAACAGCUAUAAGGUAUAAAUUAACCUAGUAUUCCAUUAAUAACGAACAGACAAAAACUAAAAUACAAUCUGUUUUCGCGUUAACGCCUAAAGAUAGAUCACGCCUCUUCGAAAGGAAUAUAAUUACCGAUUGGAAAAGAAAAUCACAGGAUAUCCCGGAUGACGAAGCUGAAUCGAUCGUUAAAGAUGGAGAGAUUAAGUUGAAUGUUCCAAACAAAGGAUCUCGAACUGGACAAUGGCUUCUUUCCUUCUCGAUACUUCUAGUGAUCUUUGUCGCUAAAAGAGAGAGUGAA
This is an unclassified non-coding RNA of Apis florea (little honeybee), 1019 nucleotides long. The record is from RefSeq and is a predicted model, not a curated record. NCBI's taxonomy places the organism in Eukaryota, Metazoa, Arthropoda, Insecta, Hymenoptera, Apidae.